This 73-nucleotide transfer RNA is filed under the name Merluccius polli (Benguela hake). It matches the Rfam family "tRNA". Rfam says of the family: Transfer RNA (tRNA) molecules are approximately 80 nucleotides in length. Their secondary structure includes four short double-helical elements and three loops (D, anti-codon, and T loops). Further hydrogen bonds mediate the characteristic L-shaped molecular structure. tRNAs have two regions of fundamental functional importance: the anti-codon, which is responsible for specific mRNA codon recognition, and the 3' end, to which the tRNAs corresponding amino acid is attached (by aminoacyl-tRNA synthetases). tRNAs cope with the degeneracy of the genetic code in two manners: having more than one tRNA (with a specific anti-codon) for a particular amino acid; and 'wobble' base-pairing, i.e. permitting non-standard base-pairing at the 3rd anti-codon position. Lineage: Eukaryota; Metazoa; Chordata; Actinopteri; Gadiformes; Merlucciidae. The record is from Rfam by way of RNAcentral.
AACCGCGUGGCCUAAAGGAUAAGGCGUCUGACUUCGGAUCAGAAGUUUGAGGGUUAAAGUCCCUUCGUGGUUG